RNAcentral lists this ribosomal RNA (465 nucleotides) under uncultured bacterium. Its description in RNAcentral is "partial 16S ribosomal RNA". It matches the Rfam family "Bacterial small subunit ribosomal RNA", at positions 28 to 506 of the family's 1533-position model. The record is from RNAcentral.
GAUGAACGCUGGCGGCGUGCUUAACACAUGCAAGUCGAACGAUGAAGCCCAGCUUGCUGGGUGGAUUAGUGGCGAACGGGUGAGUAACACGUGAGUAACCUGCCCUUAACUCUGGGAUAAGCCUGGGAAACUGGGUCUAAUACCGGAUAGGAGCGCCUACCGCAUGGUGGGUGUUGGAAAGAUUUAUCGGUUUUGGAUGGACUCGCGGCCUAUCAGCUUGUUGGUGAGGUAAUGGCUCACCAAGGCGACGACGGGUAGCCGGCCUGAGAGGGUGACCGGCCACACUGGGACUGAGACACGGCCCAGACUCCUACGGGAGGCAGCAGUGGGGAAUAUUGCACAAUGGGCGAAAGCCUGAUGCAGCGACGCCGCGUGAGGGAUGACGGCCUUCGGGUGGUAAACCUCUUUCAGUAGGGAAGAAGCGAAAGUGACGGUACCUGCAGAAGAAGCACCGGCUAACUACGU